UACAGAGGGUGCGAGCGUUAAUCGGAAUUACUGGGCGUAAAGCGCGCGUAGGCGGCUUUGCAAGUCGGGUGUGAAAUCCCCAGGCUCAACCUGGGAACUGCAUUCGAGACUGCAUUGCUAGAGUAUGGGAGAGGGAAGUGGAAUUUCCGGUGUAGCGGUGAAAUGCGUAGAUAUCGGAAGGAACAUCAGUGGCGAAAGCGACUUCCUGGACCAAUACUGACGCUCAUGUGCGAAAGCGUAGGGAGCAAACAGG
This 253-nucleotide ribosomal RNA is filed under the name uncultured bacterium. RNAcentral describes it as "partial 16S ribosomal RNA". It matches the Rfam family "Bacterial small subunit ribosomal RNA", at positions 524 to 776 of the family's 1533-position model. The record is from RNAcentral.